Molecule: ribosomal RNA, 253 nt
Filed under: uncultured bacterium
Lineage: Bacteria
Description: partial 16S ribosomal RNA
Rfam family: Bacterial small subunit ribosomal RNA
Source: RNAcentral
UACGUAGGGGGCAAGCGUUACCCGGAUUCACUGGGAGUAAAGCGGGUGUAGGCGGCUCGGUAAGUCGGGUGUGAAAUCCCACGGCUCAACCUUGGAAUUGCACCCGAAACUGCUGAGCUUGGGGCCGGUAGAGGGAGACGGAACUGCCGGUGUAGGGGUGAAAUCCGUAGAUAUCGGCAGGAACGCCGGUGGGGAAGCCGGUCUCCUGGGGCGCGCCCGACGAUGAGGCCCGAAAGCUAGGGGAGCAAACCGG